Molecule: long non-coding RNA, 1756 nt
Organism: Brassica napus (rape)
Lineage: Eukaryota; Viridiplantae; Streptophyta; Magnoliopsida; Brassicales; Brassicaceae
Exons: 6
Source: RefSeq, a predicted model, not a curated record
ACCAAUCAGAACAUUUUAUUUUUGGGUUUGGGCUUAAAGUUUUGUUUAGGUAUGGGCUUAAAGUUCAGUUACUCCAAAAGUCGAAACCCUAAAUCAGAUUAAUCAAAAAAAUGGAAGUCGUCUCUCCUAUUCCUUCAUCGGAGUCAGCGACGCCUGAGGUCCAUAAGUCGUAUUUUCAAGCACUAGCCAUUACUGGAGUCGGUUUAGAUAUCUCUCCACCGCCGCCAGGGCAUUGAUUCUUCCUUCUACUUCAGCCCUCUUGAAGCGAUCAGUUUGAUUCUGUGAUUGUUGAUGAGCAGAAGUAAGGCGGAAGUGAGACUACUAUUACAAGAUUGGUACCUUCUAACUCCAUCUCUAAUCUGGAAAGCGUUAAAACCGAGCCUGGUGAGACAGAUUCAUCUCAGCGUAGUUUCGUUUCCUCCAUGACUUCUAAGCAAGCCUACAAGAAAGAUAUCCUUAUUUCCUCUCAGAAAGUUUCUUCAUUUCCAAGUUUUCUCAGAAUUCUAUUUUUCCUGUCUUUGCUCAUGGAUUACUACACAAUUGUUGUGCUGGAUCUGCUGCUUCUAUUAUUAGGAAGAUCUGUUUUUUUCUUUUGUUUUUUUCUUACCAGUGGACUAAUUUAAGACCUCUGGAGACCUGUGUUUGUAUGAAUUUAGGACUUAUCAGUCAAACUGAGUUUUGACUAGCAUCUCCUCAUCUAAUUGCAUUUGCUUAGCCUUGGCUUUGACUUUGUGAGUGAUACGAAGAGGAGUUUGUGGCACAUUCUGCUGCUGUCAACUGUCUAAAGAUCGGAAGGAAAUCAUCCAGGGUUCUGGUCACUGGUGGGGAAGAUCACAAGGUCAAUCUCUGGGCUAUUUGUAAGCCCAACGCCAUCCUGAGAUUCAGUUACCUUUGAUGCUUCCGAGGUCUUAGUUGCAGCAGGAGCUGCUAGCCAGAACAAUCAGUCUCGCAAGAGAAAAGAACUUGACAAGAAGAUAAAAGGAUGUGGAGGGAUGGCACGAAAGAUAUGUUUCUUAAGACUAAAUGUUAAAGGUUGGAGUUCUUUCAAAGAGUUCAUAGACAAAGAAGGUAAGAAGGAUUUGGCUGAUGUUGAGGUCACGCUUGGCGAGCUAGAAGCUGAACUUUCCGAAACCAAUGUUGUAGGAUGACAAGCUGCAGCGCUCUUACAAUGAACUUGUGGAGUACAAGCUCCUUCUUGACAAGGCUGGUGAUCUUCUUGCUUUAGCCCAUAGACAUCCUUGAGGCUCCGUUUCUGCAGGAAGUACAAGAUAUGCAACUGUUUUACUUUUCCAAGUUGUGUGUUUCUGCAAAUAGACUUAUAAGCUGUCCUUUUCAACAUGAGUAGCCUAUUGAUCCAACAAAGCAAGUAAAGCUUGGAUUCCUCAAUGGGCUGGUGCCACGCGAUAAGUCUAUGGUGUUCGGGAGGAUCCUAUUUCGAGCACCUAAGAUUUACAUGGAUUCCCAAAUAAAGAAGUGCAAAAAUUCAAUACAAGAUACCAUGAUAUAGCUUUUAGUGAAGAUCUUGGCAGACAAGCUCAAAUGAUGAUUGAAGUAUGUAUUAUCUCUUGAUAUAUGAUUGAUUCUGGUGUUUUUCCUUCUGACUCAUCAUCAUGAAUUCUAAGUAUUCUUUUAGAUGUACAACUAUUAAUUUAAUUUCUGGGCACGAGUGACAAGUGAUAACUACGAAGAUGUAGUCAGAUUUUUGUAUAAUAGCCAACAAUAUACGUUUAUUUAUGAAUAUUCUAUCUCAACUAAA